This is a long non-coding RNA of Balaenoptera musculus (blue whale), 1023 nucleotides long. RefSeq lists it as uncharacterized. The record is from RefSeq and is a predicted model, not a curated record. NCBI's taxonomy places the organism in Eukaryota, Metazoa, Chordata, Mammalia, Artiodactyla, Balaenopteridae. The transcript has 4 exons.
GGAGCUAGGAGGAGCAGUUGGAUUCUGGAUCAUUUUGCAGGCAGAGCCCAUAGGACUUGCCGAUGGAUUGGAUGUGAAAGACUCUGAGGUCUGGGGGUGCUUAGGGCCAGGCCUCAUGGUCAGAGAGAGAGGCAUAGCUGGGAUUUGAAUGUGAUGUCGUGGUGAGUGCUGGGGACCACCACACGGAGCUGAUUUCCAAUUUCCGUGCAACAUGAAAAGUGAAAAAAACUUCAGUCCAACCAGAGAGCUCACAGAAGGCUUCCUGGAGGAGGUGGUGCCUGAGCUAAGCCUUGCGGGAGGAGAAAGAGCCCACCAGUGACUGGUGGUGUGUGGAUAUACGGACAUACUGGGUCAUGAUAUGAAAUGCAAUUCUUACUGUGGGUCAUGAUUUUAAAACCUCAGAAGCCACUGGAUUUACUCAUUUAAUCCUCACAACAACCCUAUGAGACGAGGACAAGGGGUGAUAUUUACUGAGAUCUUAAAUCUCCACCCGGUUGCUGGUAGAAAAAUAGGUGCGAAGAAACCAGAAGUCAUCUGGACCUUCUUCUGCAAAGCAGGCCCUACCUACGCAGGGGAAAGGCCAGAAGUGGAUUUCCCCCUGGAUAUAGGAAGCUGAAGAGAAAAUGUCCCAGGGGUUUUAGAUUGUGGAUUCGUUUGCUCACCAUGGGAGCCUUCCCCCUUCUGAUGUGCCUUCCAGUACCACAGCUAAAACUACACUUCCUCACUCCCCUUGAAGCCAUAUUUCUGUCAAUCUGACGUACUUGCAUGAGAUUUGGAAAGUGAAAGUGAAACUGAAAUGGAGGUUCUGCUAAUGUUGCUUCUGCCAUGAAUUUUGGCAAGCACAGUCACGGACAGGCUGCUGUUUUUUUCUGAGGUACCACAAGUGACUGGCUUUGUGCGUUUUGAGAGGCUCUCAUCUCUGUGAAUCCAGCAAAUGUGAUGUGGUUCUGGAGCUGACAAUUCCAGUACAGGCCUACUCGUUUUACUGCGCUUCAUAGAUAUUACGUUUUUCACAAAUUGAAG